Trachemys scripta elegans is the source of this 503-nucleotide long non-coding RNA. RefSeq lists it as uncharacterized. NCBI's taxonomy places the organism in Eukaryota, Metazoa, Chordata, Testudines, Emydidae. The transcript has 3 exons. The record is from RefSeq and is a predicted model, not a curated record.
UUAGGUUGGACAGUCAAAGGUAAAAAAAUGGUUUGAAGAGAUUUCAAAUAGCAUAGAGAGUCAAAGGGCUCAUGAAACAAGAAGGCUGCUCCUGGUUGAAUGAGCUGCAGAGAAGAAGGCUCUCUUGUCCGUCAGUAAUCAGAUUUUUUGAUGGGAAGGAACCAGUGCCUGAAGAGAAGAGGUAGGCUGGAGGAAGUCAGUCUAUGGAAGUUUUAAAAAAGGAAGGUUUGUAGCCCAGUGCUACCACCACAAAAAACAUGGGUAUCGUUUUCAAAGAGGAUAUUUGGCAAGGAGGUAGUUCUGAUAGUGAACUCAACAAUUUUGGUACUUGGAGGCGACCCAAAAUAUUUACUCUGGAAAACUCUCUGAUGAGAGCCUAACUCUAUGGGUGCUCUCCACACCCACUGUGCUCAACAAGAAUUGAGGCAUGGGCCCCAGACUGUCACCAGAAAUUUUUCUACUUAAAUCAGGAACAACUGAGGGACACAUGAAAACACAAAGGA